GAUUGCACAAUGGAUGAAACUCUGAUUCAGCAACCCCGCGUCAGUGAUGAAUGAGUACGAGCUGUAAAACUCUGUCCUAGGAGACGAUGAUGACGGUACCCUAGGAGAAAGCCUUGUCUAACUACGUGACAUCAGCCGCGGUAAUAUGGAGGGGGCGAGCUUUGGCCGGAAUUAUUGGGCGUAAAGGGUUCGCAGGCGGCCUUUUCAGUCAGAUGUGAAAGAUUACGGCUCAACCGUGGUAAGCAGUUGAAACUGGGAGGCUUGAGUUAAGGAGAGGAAAGUGAAAUUUCUAGUGUCGGGGUGAAAUGCGUAGAUAUUAGGAGGCAUACCAGUGGCGAAGGCGACUUUAUGCACUUAUACUGACGCUGAGGAACGAAAGCGUGGGGAGCAAACA
This 394-nucleotide ribosomal RNA is filed under the name uncultured bacterium. RNAcentral describes it as "partial 16S ribosomal RNA". It matches the Rfam family "Bacterial small subunit ribosomal RNA", at positions 359 to 774 of the family's 1533-position model. The record is from RNAcentral.